GAGCGGUGCCUCGGGGGUCUGGACACACCUGGGACAUGAGUCUGGGGGCGCUGCGGGACCGCGCCUCCCCUCUGCUCCCUGCAGCUGGCGGCCUUCGCGGGCCGAGGAAUUUUGAGGGCUUCCAGGUCUGAAGCUGUCUCCCGGCGGCCACGGAGUGUUCUCAUGUGGACUGGGCGGAGGAAGAACUCCGGUCCAGUGGAGUCCCUGGUGAGGUCGGAGCAUGCGACCUGUCCUCCCUCCCCAGGUCACCUCGCAGGAUUGAGGACAGUGCGGCCAGAUCGAGGGUGGAGUCUGCAGGAUUUUGAAACUGCAGCCCCUGGCAUGGCGCCCUAACAGAGCCUCUGCUCCUUGCCUGGUGACGACAACAGGAAGAAGGCCAACAACCCCAAACACUGCAGCUGCGUCAUAGAUCAGAUCUUCACUGGUGGGCUGCAGUUGGAUGUCACCUGCCAAGUCUGCCAUGUCUCCACUACCAUAGACCCCUUCUGGGACAUCAGCUUGGAUCUGCCCAGCUGUUCCACCCCAUUCUGGCCCCUGAGCCCAGGGAGCAAGGGCAGCAUGGCGAACAAGGAAAGCCACGUGUCUGGGAAUCACCACAAUCAUGGACUGCCUCGAAGAACGAAGGCCCUCAGCAUUCAGAUCCAGUCCAGGAGUUGGCAAGCUCUUUGUCUAAAGGCCCAGACUGUGAAGAUACCAGGCUCCACGGGCCACAUGCGAUCACACAAUCUCUGUUGCAUGUUCUUUGUUUCAUUUUACAACUCUUUAAAUGUGGAAAGCACCCAUUCCUAGCUCACUGCCUGGAAUGCGUGACUCCUGAUCUAGGCAAAAGACUGUCUUCUGUCUGGUGAAAGAAACAAAUUGUUUAUUUAUUCUGCUACGGGUCGUGGAUCUUUGCUUGUCUAUGCUUUGCUGGGUUUGCUGUGAAAUUACUUUUUGUACCCUUGGUGUUAUCACGGAACAAUUCCAUCAUUUGAAGCCUUGACUGGAACCCUGUAAAAGAGGACUUGUAUGGGUUAUCAUUGUUAUGGAAUCUGUAAUUCUAGAUGUAGCUAAAAGGCAAUUCCAUAAAAUACAAUGAGAUACACAGACACAUGUUAUUGAAGGAAGCCCCUGAAGUCUCCAGUGACAUUUCUGUUCUUCUUUCCUCUUCUCUGCCUUUUUCCUGUUUCUGCAGUGAUUUGAACACUCAGCCAAGCUGUGACGGAAGAUCGCCACAUACAUGUUCUUUCCCCUGGAGCUGGACAUGGCCCCUUUCAUGGCCUCCAGGUCUAGGUGGGGGUGUUGGCCUGUUCUGUGUCUGGAGGGGCUGUGGUCAGGACAGGAACCCCGCUCGGAGCUCCUGUGAUAAGAUAACUGUUGAUAUUAAUAUAAACCCCACCUUCCAAAAACCUAUUUAUCCUGAUCUUAAGAUAAGACACACUUUAAUGAGUUGUUUUUGCCAGAUAUACUGAUUUUGCUUUGAAUGUUUCUCUAACAAUUUUUGAUCCACUUUCAAACUGGCAAAGUCAGGUGGGAUCACAGCGAGAAGUCAGCACUUUAAUUGGUGGAACAGGUGUUGAAGUACAGAUAGACAUCGUUGCUUUUGCAGUUGUAGAUUGCAUUUUCCUUUUCAGAUCUGUAAUAUCGUGGGGCCCUUGGAAUUUAAGCCUCCAGAAUAUCAUGCUGCUCACUAAUGUGUGAGACACAUAUGAGUUUCCUACAGAUCUGUGACAAACGACCAAAAACUUGGAAGCUUAGAACCACAGAAAUUAAUUUUCUCACAGUUCUAGAGGUCGGAAAUCUGAAAUCAAGGGGUUGGCAGGGCCCCACUUCCUACAAAGGGUCUAGGGGGAUUCCAUUCCUCCCUAGACCCUUUGUCUGACCCUAGACAGCCUCCAGCUGCCGGUGGUUCCAUAUGUAACUUCUGUGGCCAUGUCCCUUCCCUGACUUCCUGGUCACACGGCCGGCUCCUCUGAGUGUGUGUCCAAUCUCCCUCUGCUGUCAGAAACAGUGGUCAUUGGAUUUGGGGCCCAGGCAGAUCAUUCCAGGAGUAUCUCAUCUCGACAUCCUUACCUUGAUUCCAGCUGCAAAGACUUUUCACAAAUGAGGUCCCAGUCUCAGGUUCUGAGGGUUGAGACGUGGAUGUUAUGAUUUGGAGGAUGUUGUUUUUCAGAGGGCCACCGUCCCAGUGCCAGCACUGUGGAAAGCAUGUUGCCUUUGGUUAGUUAUCGGCCUCUUCCUGGUGUCCUUUCUCAUGGCUGUCCCACCUGUCUUGUGGCACACAGAUGACCUCUUGAAUAAAACAAGAUCACCAGAGUC
Molecule: long non-coding RNA, 2298 nt
Filed under: Macaca mulatta (Rhesus monkey)
Lineage: Eukaryota; Metazoa; Chordata; Mammalia; Primates; Cercopithecidae
Description: lncRNA (ENSMMUG00000064918.1)
Source: RNAcentral